GGGCCCAUAGCUCAUCCGGUAGAGCGCCUCAUUUGCAAUGAGGAGGUGAGCGGUUCGAGACCGCUUGGGUCCACCA
Molecule: transfer RNA, 76 nt
Filed under: Candidatus Nomurabacteria bacterium RIFOXYA1_FULL_35_17
Lineage: Bacteria; Candidatus Nomuraibacteriota
Also listed under: 4 other names
Description: tRNA-Ala
Rfam family: tRNA
About the family: Transfer RNA (tRNA) molecules are approximately 80 nucleotides in length.
Source: RNAcentral